GACGAACGCUGGCGGCGUGCUUAACACAUGCAAGUCGAACGGAAAGGCCCUGCUUUUGUGGGGUGCUCGAGUGGCGAACGGGUGAGUAACACGUGAGUAACCUGCCCUUGACUUUGGGAUAACUUCAGGAAACUGGGGCUAAUACCGGAUAGGAGCUCCUGCUGCAUGGUGGGGGUUGGAAAGUUUCGGCGGUUGGGGAUGGACUCGCGGCUUAUCAGCUUGUUGGUGGGGUAGUGGCUUACCAAGGCUUUGACGGGUAGCCGGCCUGAGAGGGUGACCGGCCACAUUGGGACUGAGAUACGGCCCAGUCUCCUACGGGAGGCAGCGGUGGGGAAUAUUGCACAAUGGGCGGAAGCCUGAUGCAGCAACGCCGCGUGCGGGAUGACGGCCUUCGGGUUGUAAACCGCUUUCGCCUGUGACGAGGCGUGAGUGACGGUAAUGGGUAAAGAAGCACCGGCUAACUACGUG
Molecule: ribosomal RNA, 468 nt
Filed under: uncultured bacterium
Lineage: Bacteria
Description: partial 16S ribosomal RNA
Rfam family: Bacterial small subunit ribosomal RNA
Source: RNAcentral